This 45-nucleotide non-coding RNA is filed under the name Streptomyces sp. TAA204. Its description in RNAcentral is "L31-Actinobacteria ribosomal protein leader". It matches the Rfam family "L31-Actinobacteria ribosomal protein leader". Lineage: Bacteria; Bacillati; Actinomycetota; Actinomycetes; Kitasatosporales; Streptomycetaceae. The record is from RNAcentral.
UCGGCCCCGGUUCACGGAGGACAACCCGUCCCCCGACCCGGUGCC